This 765-nucleotide long non-coding RNA is filed under the name Panax ginseng (ginseng). RNAcentral's name for it is "long non-coding RNA (PGIN_LNC011137)". Lineage: Eukaryota; Viridiplantae; Streptophyta; Magnoliopsida; Apiales; Araliaceae. The record is from RNAcentral.
UUAAGGUUGCACAUGAACAUCUCUCACUUCCAACUCUCUCUCUCUCUUAACUUCUCUAUCAACUUUCUCUUUCUCCUAGGGUUCUUGGAGGUAUGCCCUUUAUUCCUGUAACCACAUUCACAUAAAUUCUUCAAGCUCUUAUACUUAUUGAUUUUAGCCGAGUUCCUUGAUUAUGCAUAUUAUUGUGGAAAAUUAUACCUCUAGCAGACCUUCCUUUUAUUUGAUUAUGUUGAAUAUGCUAAUUUGUUGAACCCUAAUAAAAAGUUCCAGUCUUGAUUUAGUACUAGCAGCUUUUGUAGUCUUCUUCUGUUGUAUUUGUAAUAUUUUAGUGGUUUAGGGGUCUGUUCUGUAUUUAGCUCUUCUUUAUUUGGUGGAUUAGGGCUUGAAUUUGUUCUCUAAGCAUAAAAUUGGCAGAAGCAGAGGCUAGUUAACAUUAAAUUUCAAAUUUGUUUCCCCAUCAGGUAAAUAUUUACCAAUGGAUCCUCCAUUUUUUGGGUUUUCUGGUUCUGCCAAAGGAAUCCAAUGGGGGAGCCAAUCUGAAUCUGUUUUCCCUGAUAAAAAAUUAGUUAGAGGAAAUAGAUUUGAAAAUGUUGUUCCAGAUCAAGAACAAGUCAAUGGAACUCAAUUUGAAAAUACCUUUCUAGAUCAAAGCUUUAGUGGAAUUCAGUUUAUUCCAAAUCAACCUUCCAUCAGUAACAAGGUCCCUAGUUCGACGGAGAGUGCUGAGGAAGAAUUUCUGGAAGACUGUGAUUUAUCGGAUGCGGU